RNAcentral lists this long non-coding RNA (564 nucleotides) under Gadus morhua (Atlantic cod). RNAcentral's name for it is "lncRNA (ENSGMOG00000030347.1)". Lineage: Eukaryota; Metazoa; Chordata; Actinopteri; Gadiformes; Gadidae. The record is from RNAcentral.
AUGAAUGCAACCAUACAGAGAGCACUUUGCAAACUGGUGGGAAACAACCCCAAGGAAUGGGACAUGCAUCUCGAUGCGGUAAUGUUUGGCCUAAGGACAAAAAAACAAAUGACCACUAAUUUCUCGCCAUUCUAUAUGAUGUUUGGAAGAGAGGCGCGAUAUCCAUCCCAGAUCCCAGAGCAGUACCAGAUUGACAGCAGUGUCGAGGACGCUGUGGCCAAAGACAACCUGACCGACUCUGCCCUCAAUAUCAGCAAAAUUCUCUCGUGUGCUGAGGGGAACACCAAGAAAGCACAAGAGAAGAUGAAGAGGAUGUCCCAAAAAUCAUCGAUGCAGAAAUUCAAUGUUGGUGACAUGGUCUGGAGGUUGAACAUUAGGAGCCGGCAAAGGAAAGGAGGCAAGCUGGACCCCAAUUUCCUGGGGCCAUACACUGUGUUGUCAGUUGAGAACAAAAGUGCUGACUUGGUGGACGUGAAUGGUGUUGUCUUUCCAAAGAUCAAUAUUGACCACCUGAAGCAUCACCAUGCACAGAGUCCUCACAUCCCCCAAAAUUUGAAGGUGUAG